RNAcentral lists this long non-coding RNA (20584 nucleotides) under Citrus maxima (pomelo). RNAcentral's name for it is "long non-coding RNA (CMAX_LNC001948)". The record is from RNAcentral. Lineage: Eukaryota; Viridiplantae; Streptophyta; Magnoliopsida; Sapindales; Rutaceae.
GUGAAAUCGGUUAUAAUAGAGAAAGGUGCGAUGCCUGAUAUUAGAGAACUGUGGAUUGGGCCUUGCCCGCUGUUGAUGGAGAUUCCUAUUGGAAUUGAACAUCUUAAAAACCUUAAGCAACUCAGAUUUGCUCGUAUGGUUAAACAAGUUUAUUACAUGACAAAAGGCGAGAACUGGGGAAGGUUACUGAGCAUAUACCAGAUGUCCUUGUCACUUUUGUGCAGGCCGGGCGACUGUUUUAUUAUCGAAAAGAGGAUCUCUCAUCUCUGUCUCCUGAAUAUGUCGAGCAAAUCUGCUGAAGAAGAGGACUCAAAUAGGGAGCAGUCAUGCGUAUUUGGAUUAUUUUCUAUUUACUUUUAAGAAAAAUUAUUUUUCUCAUUUUUAAUUUGACAGACAAUUUAAUUAUAUAUAAUUCAAAUAAAAAUUCACCAAGAAAAUUCCUUUUUCCCUGUAAUUUGAGUACGUUUAAUAAAUAAAUAAACAAAUGCAGUAGGUCAGGAAAUCUUUUUCUAGUCAAAUAUAUAGUUAGAAUCAUAUAAUGAUUAGGUAUUAAUGUUAGUAUAGUAAUUUCCGUUAUAUUUUUUGUUACCAUGAACAGAUGGAGUAUAUAUAUCUUGCUUCUAGCGAAUUCAAUGAUGAGUUCAUCGAACCUAUACUGGAUCAGAUUGUGGUGGUAAUGCUACAUUGAUAUGCUUUGAGUUUGAGUAAUUAUUAUCAGUGUUAUCGUGUAAUACAUGCAUAUGUGAGUGGAUGCUGCUGCGAGUGUGAGUGUAUUCUUCUAUAUAUUUAAGACUGAGAUUAUGAUUUUAGAAAUGUUGUAUUACUAUUGUAAGGAAUUGUCAUCAUAUAAUAUUCAGUGUUUAAUAAUAAAAACUGUGUGCCAAUGUGGUUACCAUUGGCAUGUGGUUAAUUUGUGUGGACUGAUGCAUUUGCCUUAAUUUUAAUCUGUAGCUUAUUGUUUUCGUCAUAGUAACUUAGCAAAAAAUUGUUUCACAUGCAUUUUCAUAUUCUCAAGUUUAAUUUCCUCUUCAUUUACAUUAUUUUGCUUAUUAUUUUGCGACAUCUAUCUGGAUUAGUCUGCAACUUUCAUUGAAUUUAUUUAUUUUAUUUAAGAAGUAUGUGAAACCGUUAGUCUAAAAAUUGAAUGCAUAUUUAAGAUUGCGGUUAAUGAAUUGUCAAACAAUCACUUAUUUUUUUAAAAAAAAUUUACUCAAUCAUAUUUGAGUUGACAAUUUAUUUUAAACAUAUAUCAUUUUUGGACUAGAUACACUCACAAUCAUCAAAUAAUUGAUUUUCAAAUAUAAUUUGAGAAUAAAAUCCUUGUGGAUUACAGCAGAGAAAGUCUAUAAUUGGGUUCUGGGACUGGGGAAUUAAACUUACUAAGCCAUUCUACUAUUCUUGGGGAAAAAAUAGUGGCAGUAGUUAGGGUUAAAAUGUAAAGAAUACAAAGAAACUAUAUAAAAAAAGCAGAGGUGACUCUAAAUUUACAAUCAAAUAAAAGAGAAAUUUUAUUUUAUAUUUUAAAAAGUAUUGGUGACCCUAAAGUUAGAAAAUUACAGAUGAUUGCGAUUGAAUUAGUAAUUUUGCUUUUGAAAUUGCUUUAAGUUCCUCAAUAAAUGGUCCUGCGGAGGCUCACUCCUUAUAAUCUAAAUAUUAGAUCAAAGUGUUUGGUGGCGUUUUGUUUUUUAAUUUAAUGAAUUAAAGUGACCUAACUUAAUUAAUUAAGUUAAUUAGAGCUGUUUGUUUUUAUAACUUAAUGAGACUUUUAGAUAAUUUUGACUUAAUAAAAUAAGGUAAUUUUUUUGGCUUUUUACUUAAUGGAGAAAUGUAAAUUAAGUCAAUUACUUGUUAAUGUCAAAAAUAUUAUUGCUUUAUAAUUUAUUUUUCAUGUAUAUCCCAAAACUCACCCAUAGACAUUUACCCCACAUAAUAAUCUCAUCAUUAGUUUUAUUUAUAAAUGUUAAAAUAUUGUGGUAUUUAAUAUAUUAUUUAUGUAACAUCCAAAUUUAAUAAGGAUACAAAUGUAAAAGUACAUAUUUUCAGUUUUUUUAGUUUAAAAAAAAUAACUUAAUACUUAUUUUUAGAGAUUCAAACGAAAAAACAAACAUAUUAUUCAGAUUCAGUCAUUCAGAUCUAUUCAAAAUUCAGACUAAUUCAGAUCUAUUCAGAUGUCAGACAAAAUAACAAACGUCACCUUAGUUUUUGCGUGAAUGAAAGAGAAAGAUUGCUAGAAAUUUCAUUUUCUUUAUUUUUUCAUGUCAUGGAUAAAUAAGAGCCGAAACAAUGUUGAGUCUCUUCACAAUAAAAGCAAUUUUCAUACGUCUUUCCCUUCAGUUUUAUGAUAUUCAAUGCACGUAGUCCUUAGUAUAGUCCCUACCCCUGCCCCUUUAUUAAUUAUUGGUUAAAAAAAAAAAAGAAUCUUGAAGUAAAGCUAUUGAAUUAAACCAUAACAAUAAGUUCACAUUUUUUAGGUAUUAAAAAUAUUUUGUGAAUUAUGUUUAUUUAAAAAUAAAAAUUAUCAAACUUCAAAACUGUGACUACAAUACUCCAUGAGUGCCAUACUCCACAACUUGGCACUGCUAGAUGGUUCUAGAUUAUUGACUUUUAAUUACUUUUUAAUUAUCUAAUGAUGCUUAGUGUUGCAAACCGCCCAAGUUGCUAGCUCAAUUGCCCACCAUUUUGGGCUAGGGAGCCAAGACAAGGCCAAGAGUGUUAGCUUGACCCAAUUUCGGAAACUUCUAGGCAACUCUAGCACAUUUGAGCUUGUAAAUACUCUAGAAUUCUCCAUAGAUUUCCAGCACAUGUAAAUUGUAGAAUUCUCUAGAAUUGUAGAGCAUGGCAAGCCUCCCAUAUAAAUAUGGAAUGGCAUUAGGCAUUUGAACAACAAGCUAAAAACAAGUAACUCAAACACUUGUAAGCUCUCUUGUAAGCAUUCUUUCGAGUAAUACAAUUUCUCUUGUUUGGCUCCAUUACUCUCUUCUCUCUAGUCGAGAAGUUCAAGGCUUACUUAGCAACAUUCGGCAAAGUUGUCUAAGUGCCGCACGGGUCUACUGCGCAAAACACUCAUCCCGUGAUAAGUAGUAUCAGAGCUAAGGUUUGCACGCACGCAAGUUAGCUCAUGAGCAAUGGCCAACCCUUCGAAUCCAAUGCAAAAGGGUGUUGUUGGUGUGGAUGUUCCACCAGAACCAAGCCGCGGCCGUGAGGGAGAGCGCGCCCAAGGUAAGACUCGCAGCAAGUCCAAGGCCCCAUCCGUGGAUGCGUUGGAGCCUCGUGUAGGCACUCUCGAAAUCGCAUUGUCUGCCGCUCAAGAUAGCCUCGAGGGAUUAGAGGAAAGAGUGGACGGUCUCGAGGGAGAAUACGCCGAGUUCACGGUGGCAACCAAAGCCCUCAUCCAAGAGCAAGCGAACACUCUUCGAAGUGAGUUUCGUUAUUUUUAUGAUGAGUUGCUCAAACUUCCUAACUUUGUUCAGGAUGAACUACACGUUGUCCGUGCGGAAGUGGAUGAAGUUUGCUCGGAUUGGGCAUGGCACAAGCGCACAUUGUCUGCUAGUCCAGCUUCCGUAAACACGAGUGAUGUGCGGCGCAUUGACGUGCCAAAGCCCGACACCUACGAUGGCACACGCAACGCCACAAUCGUGGACAAUUUCCUCUUUGGGCUUGAUCAAUACUUCGAUGCCAUGGGUGUUCGAGACGAGGCAUCGAAAGUGGGCACAGAACCCACUUAUCUACGAGGCGCUGCACAACUAUGGUGGCGUUGCAAGCAUGGCGAGAUGGGCAAGGGCAUUUGCACCAUCGACACUUGGGCCGACUUCAAGCAAGAACUCCGAAAGCCGUUCGCCCCAAACAAUGCGGAGAAGGAAGCGCGAGCGCACUUACGUCGUCUCAAGCAAUCGGGUAGCAUUCGAGACUACAUCAAUGAGUUCACCACUCUUAUGCUCGAGAAGGAUUCGCUCUUCUACUUCCAAGAUGGCCUCAAGGAUUGGGCCAAGACCGAGCUUGAUAGGCGUGGCAUUCAAACACUUGACGACACCAUUGCCGUUGUGAAAUCACUCAUCGAGUACUCUACUCAAUCCAAGGACAAAAAGGCCAACCAAGGCAAAGGUGGGGGAGAGAGUCGCAAGGACAAGGGCAGUAACAACCACAAAGAUUGGGGGCAGAAAAAGACGCCUAGCAACAAGAGCGGACAAGGAAAAUCGGAGGGCAAGAAGGAGGCACCGAAGCCACGCAGCCCAUGCUUCAUUUGCAACGGUCCUCAUUGGGUACGCGACUGUCCGGAAAAGAAGUCGUUCAACGCUCUUGCUGCCCAACUCAAGAACAACCAUAACAUGUCCGCGGAAGAACCCCAACUUAGCAUGGGUUCUCUCCAAUGCCUCGGCUAGGGAUGGCAAUGGGGAGGGGAGGGGAGGGGACCAAUCUCCCCAUACCCAUCCCCGAUAUUUUGUUAUGUCCCCGUCCCCGUCAGAAUUGCUUAAGUGAAUCCCCAUCCCCUCCCCGAAUAAUAACAGGGGAUCCCCGAGGGUCCCCGGUCCCCGAAUAAUUAAUAGUCUAAUACAUUUUUUUUAUUUUUGAUUUUAAAUUAAUCAUAUUAAAAUAAAAAAUUCAGAUAAAAAUAAAGUUCAAAAUAUAUCUUGCAUUAAUAUUGAUCCAUUUCAAAGUCACAUUCAAAAUAUAAAUUAUUAAAAUAUAUAUCUUUGUCAAUGACUCAAUCUUCAUAAUCCUACAAUAAAAAGAAAAAAAAUUAUUUUUAUAUCGGCAAUAAAAUAAAUGUAGAUACUUAAUUAAUAUUUUUAAUAAAACUAUUUACCUCCUGCUCCUCCUGUUCUUCCUCGAGAAAUGUGGCAAAUUGAGAGCUAGCCUCAGAUUUUAAACCUAAAACAAUGAAAAUGAUAUAAGUAACGUAACUUAUAAGCGCAAAUAUUAAUAACUGUAUAAUAUAAUUACAAUGUAAAAUAAACUCAUAUUGCUAUUGUAAGCUCGUAACCAACUUUGACAGCACAUUAAGGCCUCCAAUGUACUUGGAUGAAGUUUGUUACGGUGUGCGCUCACAAUUCUACCACCGGUGCUAAAAGCUGAUUCAGAAGCAACUGUUGUAAUUGGAAUUUCUAAAAUAUCUCUAGCAAUUCGAGCUAAUGUAGAAUACGAAUUAGGAUUAGAACUGUUGUAAAUUAUAAUUAGGCAGCUCUCUCCUGUAUCAUUGUGGUUUGGAUUAAAAAUUUAAGACUUUAAUUAGUUAAUUAAGUUUAAAAGUUUAAUAAUAUAACUAUUUUAAUAUUUAUUAUUUUUAACAAUAUUUAUAAUUUUGUUAUUUAUUUAUUAGUAAUUUUAAAAAUAAAAAUAAAAUUAAAAAUUAAAAUGGGGAAAUGGGUAGGGGAUGGGGAUUCCACCUCAUCCCCGUCCCCUCCCCGAAUAAAAAAUUGGGUAAAAAAUUUUCCCCGUCCCCUCCCCGAAUAAAAAAUUGGGUAUAAAAUUAUCCUCGUACCCUCCCCGAAUGGGGAAAAUCCCCGAGGGUACCCGUCCCCGUGGGGAUUUUUGCCAUCCCUAGCCUCGGCGCACUCAAUCGUCAACAGCCCGCACUCGUCAAGAAAUGGCUCAUGUAUGUGAGCGCGAAGAUAAACAGCCAGUCCGUUCACGCGCUACUAGACACGGGAGCAACACACAACUUCGUGUCUGAAGAUGAGGCCAAGCGCUUAGGCCUCAAAGCCACCAAGGAAGGAGGCACGAUGAAGGUAGUGAACUCACUCGCCAAGCCAACUGCGGGAAUUGUACAAGGCGUGCACAUAACACUCGGUACGUAGAGCAGAAAGCUUGACUUCUCCAUUGUGCUCAUGGAUGACUUCAAGAUAGUCCUUGGCAUGGAGUUCUUCGACUAAGUCCAUGCCUUCCCGCUGCCUGCUACAAACUCCCUAAGCAUCCUCGAUGGGAGUAAGGCAUGCAUGGUUCCUACGGAACAAGGCAAGUCCGAGGAAAAGACACUCUCCGCCAUGCAAUUCAAAAGUGCUUUCAAGAAGGACCCAAGCUUCUUAGUCUCCAUCCGGGAACUAAAUGAGGAAGGAGAUAGCGAAAAAUUGCCAAGACAAGUCCCUCCGCGAAUACAAGCCGUCCUCAACGAGUUCAAGGACGUAAUGCCUCCAGAACUUCUGAAGAAGCUCUCACCUCGACGAGAGGUAAAUCAUGCAAUUGAGUUGGAAUAAGGCGCAAAGCCACCAGCCUUGUCGCCCUACCGCAUGGCGCCACUCGAACUUGAGGAGUUGCGGAGACAAAUCAAACACUUGCUGGACGCAGGAUACAUUCGUCCUUCGAAGACCUCAUUCGGUGCCCGGUCCUCUUCCAAAAGAAAAAGGAUGGAUCGCUACGGAUGUGCAUCGACUAUAGAGCACUCAACAAGAUCACCAUCAAGAACAAGUAUCUGAUUCCCUUGAUUGCGGACUUGUUCGACCAGCUUAGCAAAGCGCGGUACUUCACCAAACUUGACUUGCGCUCUGGGUACUAUCAAGUGCGCAUCACCAAGGGAGACGAACCGAAGACAGCAUGCACAACAAGGUACAGGUCUUUCGAAUUCCUUGUGAUGCCUUUUGGCCUUACUAAUGCACCCGCCACAUUUUGCACACUCAUGAACAAGGUGCUCCAACAAUUCCUCGACCGCUUUGUGGUCGUGUACUAGGAUGCAUAGUGGUGUAUAGUACCACGCUCGAGGAGCAUGCCCAACAUUUGCGACAAGUCCUCCAAGUACUCCGAGACAACGAGCUCUUCAUCAAAAUGGAGAAGUGCUCGUUUGCCCAACAAGUUCCUUGGCCACAAGAUUGCGGGUGGGAAGCUUAUGAUAGAGAAUGCCAAGGUAAAGGCCAUCAUCGAUUGGGAGCCUCCCACAAAAGUGCCCUAGCUUCGCUCAUUCCUUGGGUUGGUGAAUUACUACCGUCGCUUUAUCAAGGGCUACUCGGCCAAGGCGGCACCCUCGACGGAUAUGCUCAAGAAAAACAUAACGUGGCAUUGGUCUGAAGAGUGCCAACAUGCAUUCGAGGAGUUGAAAAGAGCAAUUUCGGAAGAACCCGUUCUCGCUCUUCCGGACCACACUAAGCCCUUCGAAGUUCAAACGGAUGCCUCAGAUUUUGCCAUUGGUGGAGUCCUUAUGCAAGAAGGCCACCUAAUAGCGUUCGAAAGUCGAAAGCUAAAUAAUGCGGAACGCCGCUACACGGUGCAAGAAAAUGAGAUGACAGCCAUCAUCCAUUGUAAGAGUGUGGCGACAUUACUUGCUUGGUUUACACUUCACAAUCCUGACGGAUAACGUGGCGACAAGCUACUUCCAAACACAAAAGAAAUUGAGUCCGAAGCAAGCAAGGUGGCAAGAUUUCUUAGCAGAAUUCGACUAUCAACUCGAGUACAAACUGGGUAAAGCCAAUGUCGUUGCGGACGCUCUAAGCUGCAAGGCCGAAUUGGCGACACUUAACAUGAGCCAAGCGAAAUCCGACCUUGUCUUACGCAUCAAGGAAGGCCUCCAACAAGAUCCGCUAGCAAAGGACUUGUUGGAGAAAGUGCUCGAAGGCAAAACAAUGCGAUUUUGGCAAGAGGAAGGCAUCCUCCUCACCAAGGGAGAUCGACUGUUUGUGCCAAGAUGGGGAACCUUGAAGUCAUCAAGGAGUGCCACGACUCCAAGUGGGCUAGUCAUCCAAGAAUCGAGCGCAUCAUCGUACUAGUCCAAGCCUCGUAUUUUUUGCCGCACAUGAGGGACGACAUCGAGACAUAUGUGCGCACUUGUCUUGUGUGCCAACAAGACAAGGUAGAUCAUCAACUUCCAACGGGAUUAUUGGAGCCGCUACCACUCGCAACAAGGCCAUGGGAAAAUGUCUCCAUGGAUUUCAUCACAUCGCUGCCCAAGUCCGAAGGGUGCGAAAGCAUUAUGGUCGUUGUCGAGUGUUACAGCAAGUACACCACUUUCAUUGCCGUACUAGCCGAUUGCAAAGCGGACGAGGCAGCCCGCCUAUUCGUCAAGCACAUUGUGAAACUUUGGGGAGUUCCGAAGACCAUUGUGAGCGACCGAGACCCUUAGUUCAUUGGGCGUUUUUGGAGGGAGCUCUUCAAGAUAUUAGGGACCGAUCUCAAGUUCUCGACAAGCUUCCACCCACAAACAGAUGGGCAGACCGAGCGCAUCAAUGGCCUUCUCGAGAUGUAUCUAAGGCAUUAUGUUAACGCUCAUCAGUGGGAUUGGGUGAAGCUACUCGACAUCGCCCAAUUUUCUUAUAAUUUGCAGCAAAGUGAGGCUACGGGCAAGAGUCCGUUCGAGAUCAUCAUGGGAUUCCAGCCCAUGACUCCCAACACCAUAGCCUCAACUUACGGAGGAAAAAGCCCCGCGGCACACAAGCUUGCCUGCGAAUGGCACGAGGAAGCAGACAUCACGCGAGCCUAUCUCGACAAAGCCUCGAGGAAGAUGAAAAAGUGGGUGAAUACAAGGAGACAGUAUAUUGAGUACAAGGAAGGUGAUCAAGUCAUGAUCAAGCUCCUACCCCAACAAUUCAAGACUUUGCGGAAAGUUCACAAGGGGUUAGUGAGGCGCUACGAGGGACCCUUCUGAGUUGUACGACGUGUGGGCAACGUCUCGUAUCAACUCCAACUUCCGCUAAGACUCAAGAUCCAUCUGGUCUUCCACGUGAGCCUUCUCAAGCCAUACCAUGGAGAUGUGGACGACCCAAGUCGUGGAGAAUCAAGGCGCGCGCCAACCGCCGUUGUCACCGCAUUCGACAAAGAUGUGGACUACAUCCUUGCGGAUCGCGUGGUUUCGAGGAGAGGCGUGCCAGCACAUAGCGAGUACUUGGUGAAGUAGAAAAAUCUCCCCGAAAGCGAAGCCACUUGGGAAUGUGAAGAAGAUUUGUGGCAAUUCGCUGAGCACAUCCAACACUUCAAGCAUGAGAGCGCGACGAGGACGCCGCAAGUUUAGGUUGGGGAGGAUGUUGCGGACCGCCCAAGUUGCUAGCCCAAUUGCCCAUCAUUUUGGGCUAGGAAGCCAAGACAAGGCCAAGAGUGCUAGUUUGGCCCAAUUCCGGAAACUUCUAGGCAACUCUAGCAUAUUUGAGCUUGUAAAUACUCUAGAAUUCUCCAUAGAUUUCCAGCAUAUGUAAAUGGUAGAAUUCUCUAGAAUUGUAGAGCAUGGCAAGCCUCCCCUAUAAAUAUGGGAUGACAUUAGGCAUUUGAACAACAAGCUAAAAACAAGCAAUUCAAACACUUGUAAGCUCUCUUGUAAGCAUUCUUUCGAGUAAUACAAUUUCUCUUGUUCGGCUCCAUUGCUCUCUUCUCUCUAGUUCGAGAAGUUCAAGGCUUACUUAGCAAUAUUCGGCAAAGUUGUCUAAUUGCCGCACGGGUCUGCUGCGCAAAACACUCAUCCCGUGACAUUAGUCUAUAGAGUACGAUAUCCUUAGAAAUAAAAAAGAGACACUUUAAAGAAUUAAAAGCUAAAUGAGUGAUAAAUAUCUUGUUGUAAUUAGUUUACUUGAGACCAAAAAUAGAUUUCUAAAAUGAGAUGGAGUGGGGAAGAAGUUGGGAAAAAUGACCAUGAGCUUGAGCGAUAAACUUGUAAAUUAUGCUAUGGUGUUUUGUUAAAAAUAACAGUGGUAGCUAGUUUUAUAAAUUCUGCAUGGUAAUUUUGUGAACAACAUAGAAAAAACUAAAAAACUAAAUUAUUAUUAUAAUUAUUUUGUUGGCGUAUCUUGCUUAUUGGAAGUGAACAUAAAUUGUAUAUUUGGAUGGACUAGAAACUGUGAUUCAGAAAUUCAGGGAGGCACGGUCAAAUUUGGACACCCUAAGGAAGCUGGGAGCAUCCAUUCUCCAUGGAGUUGAUGCAACUGAAAUGAAGGAACAUCCUCAAUUUAGCAAGCGUCAUACUGCUUAUUUUAAAUUGUUCUGUUUUUUUUUUUUUUCAGAAAUUGCUGUGAGUCUUGGGAGGUUCACUCAUUGUAAUUGAUAUGUUAAACUGAUUAAGGAAGCGUGAAGCAUAAAGUAGACCAAAGUGUUGAAUAGUUCUUUAAAAGAGAAAUAUUGCUAGAAAUCUUAAUUUUAUUUAUUUAUUUAUUAUGUCAUGGUUUUAUUUAUUCAUAAAAUUGAAAGCCACAAUGUUGAGUCUCUUCACAGUAAAAGCCAUUUUCACAUUUAGACUUCUUCUCCUUUAGCUUUAUGAGAUUCAAUGCCCCCCACAAUGUUGCGUCUCUUCACAGUAAAAGAAACUUGUGGUCCUAAAUGAUCGUUAGAAUUUAAGAAUAUAUAUAUAUUUCAUGUUACUGAGAUUUUUUUUUUUAUUUCCAUUCUAAAUUAACCAUUAAAAAGAAAUUGUAACCGUUGCUCCAUUGUAAAAAUUACGUUCAACAUUUCAAGAAAACAAUCUUAGUUGGAAGAAAUUCCGGAAAAAUAUAGAUCGGUUUUUGAAUUCGAAAUUUAAACUCAAUUAAGGAAACUAGUAAAUAAAAGGAAACACAAAACCAUAUUGGUCGGGGCCGUGGACCUGACAACAUGUCCCUCCGAUAAUUUCAAUCUUUUUUUCAUUCUUCCUAAAACACCUUUCCAAACUUCUCAAACUACAGAAGACAGACUCACAGACAGUAAUUACAUCAAGGCUAAUUAUGUCAUUUUACAUUCCUGGGUCAAGUCUGGUGAAGUAUUGUCCUCAUCAUGAUCAUUUGCCAUGCAAGCGUAUAACAAACUCUUCGGCAAUCUCACUACUACUAUGGCAACAGUGGCUGAAGCUGCUGAAAGAGAAGAGGAAAAAUAAAUGGGUUUGACGGAAAAAAAAAAAAAAAAAAAAAAGAAGAAGAGAAAUGGAUAAUGCUUUAUUCAUCAAAACAUAAAAUACUAUUAGCGGGCGAAGGAGAUUUCUCUUUUUCUCUUGCUUUAUCUCAGAAAUUUGGCUCUGCUUCUCACAUCUGCGCUUCUUCUCUUGUGAAAGAAAGUUAAAAGCUGUUUGUUUCAAGAGAAAAUUUACAGAGGAAAAUCAGAGUUCUUAUUUCUUGAUUAUUUGAUUACACAUAACAACUGAUCUAAUGCAGCUUAUAUACUCGAAGCUGUUUACAUACACAUGCUAAAGAAACUAGUAACAAACAUUAACAACUUAUGCUGACUUGUCAAUACCCGUAACUACUUCUGCUGAUCUGGCACUGAUGAGCUGGCACUAUUGACUUGCUUCACUAACUGAGACUGAGAACUACUUUGCCUUUCUAUUCUUCAUAAACUCAGCACAAUGAGUUUCCUUAACAGCCCCCCUCAAACUCAAGGGGCAUAGCUGCACAUUGAGUUUGUUCCGUAGAUAGUUGAAGUGAACAAAAGAAAGAGGUUUGGUCAUGAUAUCAGCUAUCUGUUCUUUACUAGGAAUGUACUGAAUUAUCAACUCCCCUGCAAUCACUUUAUUUCUGAUGAAGUGAAUGUCAAGCUCGAUAUGUUUUGUUCGUGAAUGAAAAACAGGAUUGCGAGCUAAUUCAGUGGCACUAAUGUUGUCACACCAAAUAGUAGGAAUUUCUGUGCAGCACAAAUUAAUCUCAAAAAAUAAGGAUUGUAACCAGCUUAUCUCUGCACUAGCUGAAGCUAAGGCUGUAUAUUCACUUUCAGCACUUGAUCGAGCAAUGACUGACUGCUUUUUAGAUGACAAAGAGAUCAGAUUGUUGCCUAAGUAAAUACAGUAAGAACCAACAGAUUUUCUGUCAUCAAGAUCACAAGCCCAAUCUGCAUCAGUGAACCCUGUAAUCUUCAUUUCUCCAUGCUGAACAAACUUGAGUCCAAAAUCCUGAGUAGAUUUCAAAUAUCUAAGAACUCUUUUACAAGCUAGAAGAUGUUGCAUUGUAGGAGCAGACACAUAUUGACUCAGUUUGUUUACAGCAAAAGCAAUCUCUGGUCUUGUUAGAAUUAAGUACUGCAUCCCACCUACAAUGCUUCUGUAACUUGUAGGAUCAGUAAUAUAUUGACCAAGAUCUCCUUGAGUUUCCUUUUGUAGCUUAAUACCAGUGCUCAUGGGUGUGUCAGUGCCUUUGCACUCAAGAAGCUGCACUUUGGAUAAUAGAUCUCGUAUGUAUUUCCUUUGGGACAAAAAGAUACAGCCUGCAUCAUACAACACUUCUAUGCCCAGAAAAUAAGACAACUUACCCAGAUCCUUUAAUGCAAAAACUUUACUGAACUCAGCUAUAAAAGCUUCCAAUUCUGCACUAUUUGGCCCUGUAAUUAGAAUGUCAUCGACAUAAAUCAACACCAUUAUCAUUGCUGAGCUUGUUUUCUUUAGGAACAGAGAAGGAUCAGCUCUUGAGUUUACAAAAUUCCACUGCAACAAACAACUCUUCAGCUUCUCAUACCAAGCUCUUGGAGCUUGUUUAAGACCAUAGAGUGACUUGUUAAGCUUACACACAAAGCCUUUCUUCUUAUCAUCAACAAAACCUGCUGGUUGAUCCAUGAAUACCUCUUCUGUCAACUCUCCAUUAAGAAAAGCAUUAUUUACACCUACUUGUCUUAUAUGCCAUUUGUUCAUAACAGCUAAACUGAUUACCACUCUGACAGUAGCUAAUUUCACCACUGGGCUAAAUGUUUCAAAGUAAUUGACCCCUUCAAUUUGCUGAAAUCCCUUAGCUACUAAUCUAGCUUUGUACUUAGCUAAGCUUCCAUCUGAGUUAUACUUAACUCUGUACACCCACUUGUUACCAACAACCUUCUGACCAUCCAACCUUGGAACCAGAGACCAUGUAUUGUUCUUAAGUAAAGCAUUGUAUUCUUCUGUCAUGGCUGCAAGCCAUGUAGAAUCCUGCAUAGCUUCUUCUACAGAAUCUGGUUCUUUAUGAACAAGUGCUGCAUUAUAGACUUUAGGUUUGAAAACUCCAGCCUUGCUUCUAGUGGUCAUGGAAUGUGUGUUUGCUGGUGUAGUGAUCUGUUGGGUAUUUUCUGGAGCAGAGGUGUGUUGAAUAAUAUUUGGUAAAAUUUGUGAUGAAGAGAGUGUGUUGGUAGUGAAUGGUUGAGUAGAUAUGGAAUUAUGAGGUUAUGUAUGUGGUUCAAAUAUUUGUUGCAAAGGCUGAGAAUUUGUGUUAUGUGCAUGAUUAACUGAAUGAUGAGAACUGUUGCUGGUAGAUCUUGCAGAAACAUGAUUAUAAGAAUUACUGUCAUCUGAAUUGGAAGAUAUUGACAAAGUGGAUAGAUGAUACACUUGUUGAGGAGUAAAUGACAGAUGUUGACAUGAAUUAUUGGAAGUGAAAACAGAAUCUGAGGAAUAAGGAAAUGAAUGCUCAUCAAAUAUGACAUGCCUAGCUAUAUAGACUUGACCAGUUGGAUGCAGACAUUUGUACCCUUUAUGAGAAGGGUUGUACCCAAUAAAGAUACACUUGUUGGAAUGAUAUGCAAACUUAUGCUUGUUAUAAUCUCUCAGAUAGGGAUAGCAUGCACAACCAAAGCACUUGAGCAUUUUGUAAUCUGGUUUGUGACUGAAGAGCUUUUCAUAUGGAGUAAGAAAUUUUAAAGUUGCAGAAGGCAACCUAUUAAUAUGAUAGACUGAUGUUUGAAAGGCUUCCCACAAAAAACUUAAGGGUAAUUUAGCUUGAGCUAGAAGUGUAAGACCUAACUCAACAAUGUGCCUGUGCUUUCUCUCAACUACCCCAUUUUGAUGAUAUGUGUAGGGAUAAGAGUGUCUGAAAAUAAUUCCAUUUUGGUUCAAAAAAUCUGUGAAAGCUCGAUAUUCUCCCCCCCCCCCCCCCCCAGUCUGAUUGCAACUUUUUAAUGGGACAUUGGAAUUGUUUUUCAACUUACACUUUGAAGAGUUUGAAAAUUUGUAAGGCUUUUGAUUUCAGUUUCAGUGGAUAGAUCCAGGUAUAUCGACUGAAAUCAUCAACAAAGCUGAUGUAAUAAACAUAACCAGCUCUGGAAGGAGAAGGGGAAGGACCCCACAAAUCAGUGUGAAUGAGUUCAAGUAUUUGGGAAGUUUUGGUUUCAGUUGCAGGGAAGUGCAGUCUAUGAACUUUACCCAUUUGACAUGCCUCACAUAUUUGUUGUGCAGCUUGCUUAAUAAUGGAAGUAGAAAUAUUGAUAGACUGAUCAUUCUUAAGUAAAUGCACUAGUACAUCAUAAUGAGGAUGACCAAAUCGUCUAUGAAACAAGAUGACCUUAUUAACUGAUUCAUUACAAGGUAAGAAAGAAUUGACAGCAGUUUGAUAACAAGCUACAGACUUUGAAUGUUUAUUCUGGACAUCAGUUAAAACGGGAAAUUGUAGAUGACAUGUAGAAAGCAUAGACAGAGGCUUGUUUGAAGAAAUUUGACUCAAGAAAGAAAGAGGAGAUGACUGAGAUGACUGUAACAGCAACUUGUAUAAUCCUUUUUCAGCAAGGCCUUGCAGAAGUACUUGUCCCUUCAGUGAAUCCUUUACAUAACAUACAUUACCAACAAAUUCAAUGGAAAUGUUAUUAUCAGUGGUUAGCUUGGAUAUACUUAUUAAGUUCUUAGUAAUAGAAGGAACUAACAAGAUAUCCUUAAGUGCUAUAGGUGUGUGUUUGUGGGCAGCAUUAAGACUUUUAUGGCUAAAGUAAGCAUCACCAAUAUGAGUAAUAAUCAAACCUUGUCCAUUGCCAAUAGUCAGCUGAUCUAGGCCUCUGAACUCUUCUCGCACAUGCAUAUUACCCAUGUUAUUUGUAAUGUGAUGUGUGGCCCCACUAUCCAGAUACCACCCUUCAUCUGAUGAACCUUCAAGGUUAGCAACAUAAGCUUCAGGAAAAGUAAAAGCAUCAGACUGAUAAGAAUAAACAGGUCAAUAAUUCACUAGUUGAUAGCUCGAGUUAACAUCUGCAGCUUCAUAAGAGUCUUCAACUGUUGACUGCUGAUAAGGAAAUGACUCAAAAUUAGCCAUAUAAGCAGCCUUUGAUCCCAUCAUUUUACCUCUGCCAAAAUGCUUAGGAAUGUAAUUAUCACCAUAUCGAUACCAGCAAGCAUCAGCAGUAUGACCUUGCUUAUGACAUAUUUGGCAUAUAGGUGUCAGUUCAUUAUGUUCACCAUUAGAAAUAUUUUGAUUAUGUGCAGGAGAAAACAUAUUUCUGAUGUGUGGUGGUCUGUGAAAAUGUUGAAACUGAUUUUUGCCAAAACUUGCAGCACCAUUUCCUCUACCAAAACCACCAAUAGCACUAUUACCAGCUGGAAAACCUCUAGGAUAAGAAGUAGAGACCAUGCCACGACCAAAAUACUGACCUCUUCCUCUAUAUUGACCAUUAGAACCAUUAACAAAAGUAUUCCUCCUUGGAAAACCUCUCAUAUGCGAGGAAUUUGCAUAAUUUGCAUUCAUCAUACUAUAGUUGGCAUUAAACAUAGCCUGUGGAUUCUGGUUCUGUUCUAAACGAGCUUCAUGUGUUAACAACAGUGCAUAUGCAUCAUCAAAGUUCAUUUUAUUGGCUGUGAUUAUGGAAGCCAGAUCCAAAUAACCAGGUCCUAAUCCAUUAAGAGUUCUUAUCAACAGAUCUUUUUCAGUUAUAUUAUCACCAGCACAAGCAAGCUUAUUCACAAGAGUUUUCAUUUUUUAGCAAUAUUCUUCAACUGGCAUUGAUUCUUUUCUCAAAGUAUCCAAUUCAUAUCUAAGUUGCAUUAUUUUUGCUUCAGAUUGAACUCCGAAUUGUUUUUCAAUAGAUCUCCAAACAUCAAAGGAGGUAUCAUAAUUGAGAACUGAGCUUAGAAUACCUUCACUUAUUGUUGAAAGAAGCCAGCUAAGCAGAGUCUGAUCCUGAGCUCUCCAAUUAACAUAAGCUGGAUUCCCAACCUUCUCCACAGAUCCAUCAGCUCUUGAUUGAGAUAGAUAUUGUUCUGGAGUAUUCUGACCUUCUGAGAUUAAUCCUUCAAGUCGAUUUCCUCUGAUUGACGUCAGUACUUGUUUGCGCCAAAGAAGAAAAUUUGAUCGAUUGAGUUUUACAGUUGCAGCAAAAGUAAAUGAAGUUUGCGUAGAUUGAAAUUGAUUGAUAGUUGAAUGAAUUUGAUUAGUUGUAUUGGAACUAGCCAUAGUUGGCUCUGAUACCAUGGAAGAAAGUUAAAAGCUAUUUGUUUCAAGAGAAAAUUUACAGAGGAAAAUCAGAGUUCUUAUUUCUUGAUUAUUUGAUUACACAUAACAACUGAUCUAAUGCAGCUUAUAUACUCGAAGCUGUUUACAUACACAUGCUAAAGAAACUAGUAACAAACAUUAACAACUUAUGCUGACUUGUCAAUACCCGUAACUACUUCUGCUCAUCUGGCACUGAUGAGCUGGCACUGAUGAGCUGGCACUAUUGACUUGCUCACUAACUGAGACUGAGAACUUCUUUGCCUUUCUAUUCUUCAUAAACUCAGCACAAUAAGUUUCCUUAACAUCUUGAUUCUUAUGGUACGGUAAUAUAAUCAAUUUUACGAAAAAAGAAAAAUAGAAAAUUGUAAAAUUACCAGGAAAAUUAUUAAAAAGUAUUAUUAUCUAUUGUGACAUCUGGUUUAUUUGGAAGUUAAUAUAAACCAUCUUUGGAUGGAUUAGAAACUGUCACUCAGAAAUUCAAGAAGGCAGAGUCAAACUUGGACACUCUAAAUUAAGAAGCUGGGAGCAUCCCUUAUCCAUGGAGUUGAUGCAACUGAAAUGAGGCGUCAUCCUGAAUUGAGAGAGCGGAUCGUUGAUAGAAUUAUCUUCAAAUUCCCCCAUGCUGGCUUUUCUGGAAAGGAAGACAACAAUCAACUUAUUCAAUGAGCUGCUUUAAAAUACAGUUCCUUGUAGAAAUUUUGUGUUUCUUCUGCAUUGCUUACUAAUCUGAAACUUUCAUUUCUUUUGCAAUGAUCCAGCUAUUCACUGUCAUCGUUUGAUGUUAAUACGGGGAUCAGCAACUCAUGCUUUUGAAGAUUUCAUGGAUAGGAUUGAAACUUAAUUGAAAAUCAUAGUUUCCAAAGGGGAAUUGCUAAAUUGCUGAUGAAGAAAUUAUAGUCUGGUUUAGAUUUAGAUACAAGUUGAAAGCGAAAACCCAGCUUUGAUUUUAAGGGAUCUGGGAUUUGGAUGACUCUUGCAUAUAUAGGAUAUUUUUGUAAUGUUUGCUUUCAAUGGUUGAUUACUUGCUAGUGAGGAAUUUCAGAGUGACGAAAAAUGCAGAGUCCUGUGGAAACGUGGGUCGAUACACUACAGUGACAUGAAAAUGGUUAAAAAAAAAAGAGUGAACUUGCUUAAUAAAGUGAUCCGUUUUGCUAAAAAAUUCAAAACAUUGUAGUCUAGAGUUCCCUGUGAUAUUUUAAAAAUCACUAAUUCUGAAAAUGCUGGCUCGUAUACCUGUUCGAUGAUCUUUCUUCUGGUAGUCGCAGAAUGCAUAUGAGUCUUGUGGAAGGUUUCUUGAAAUGCAAGUGGCAUGCUGAGUCGUAGUUGUGAAGUUCAUGUAACCCACAAAACAACUGCUCCAUUUCGCGACUGGAAUAUCGAGGAACUUGCUCCCAAACACUGUUUGUCAUCAAUGUACCCUGUCAACCUUAAAAAAAAAAGACUACCCUGGUUACAACAACAAGUGAGGAGCUGGUUUGAAAUGUGAUGAGCCCUUCCCCUUGGGAGAGUGCAGUACCUUCAUAUUUGGAUUCUAUCGUGCUCGCAAGAGAGUAAUGAGUUAUGGUGGAUUCGCUAACAAAAGACAUCAGCCGGUUCAAGAGAUUCCAAUCCAAGUGCAGAAGGAUGGAACUCCAUUUGACUCGAGAUAUGCUAAUGCAAAGUCAUCCACUGGUAUGAAUGAAUUUCCAGCCUGUUCGAAGUUUGAUGGCAGCGGCAUGAGUUACUCUGUUCGUGAAUAUCCUAGGUUUGACAGAUUCAUACAUCCUCAAACAAGUUUCACUAGAAAUAUGACUGACCAUCCAGCAUAUAAGAGACUAGCUUUGAUGAGUAAUAUACAAAGCGAAAAUGCUAGGUCCCAUAAUGGCCGCUUCAAUAGUUCCAUAAUUCUGUGUGAAAGGUAUAUCGCAGAAGUACCAGGAUUCCAAAGAGAAAAUGCGAGGAUUUUGUAUCCUAUGGAUGGAAGUAAUUUAAAAGAAAGGUGCAUCAAUUUGUUUGUGUAGCAUACUGUAUGGCUAGAGAGUUUCAUGCUCUUGGUCUUCGCAGUUUUCUUAUUUGUAUGGUUUCGUUUUCUUUAUUUUUUGCCGACAAAUAAACAAAUCAACUUGCAAUAAAAUAAUAUUAAAAUACACUAAAAAAGCUCAAAUGCCGACAAAUUCCAGGUUGUUCAGUUCAAAAUUAAUUCUAUAGUAAGUAUGAAGAAUAAAAUAUAAACAAUCAACCUGCAAGUUGAAAAUUCUGCAUUCUUAAACCAAUGUCCAAACAGGGGUAAACAUGUCUGCAAACAUAAACAAUGAUCAAACACUGUUUGCAAAAGCAUCAAUCUGCUUUGUAAAUUAGACCUGCUGGUGUGAUAUGGCGGAGGCUGCGGUGAACUUUGCAAUAGAGACCUUGGGUCCUUUGCUUGUCGAAGAAAUCAGAUUGUGGGGAGGUGUUAGAAAAGAAGUUCAAAGUAUCAAAAGCGAACUGGAGAGUCUCAGAUCUUUCCUCAAAGAUGCGGAUGCAAGGGCAGCAGUCGAAGAAUUAGAAGGAGGCGGUGAGGAAAGUGUCAGAACUUGGGUGAAACAACUGAGGGAUGAAGCUUAUCGCAUUGAAGAUGUGAUCGACGAGUACACACUCAUGGUGGCAAAACUCCCUCAUGGGAGUGGCCUCGUUGGUGUUCUCCAUAGAAUCAGUCGUUUCAUAAAGAAGCUGAAGCUGCGGCGUGGAGUUGCUACUGAGAUUCAAGAUAUCAAAUCAGCGCUUGCUGAUAUAAAGCGAAGGGGAGAAAGCUAUCGAUUCAGAUCUAUUGAUGAACCAUCGAGCAGUGGAACCAGAAAUGUUAUCCCACAUGACUCUCGAGUUCGUUCCUUUUUCGUUGAAGAUGAUGAAGUUGUGGGCAUCGAAUCCAUUAAAGAUAAAUUGAUUGAUUUGAUGGUGAAUGGCAGAUCCGAACGUUCAGUGGUCGCUGUGGUGGGUGAAGGAGGAUUAGGCAAGACCACCCUUGCCGGAAAAAUUUUUAACAGUGAAGGUUUAAAAACUCACUUCAAUUGCCGGGCUUGGAUCACCGUUGGGAAAGAAUACAAAAAAAAUGAAAGAGUUUCAUCGUGUAGCAAACCAGCCUGCUCCAGUGGAGAUACACGACAUGGAAGAGAUGGACCUGAUCACCACGCUGAGGGACCACUUGAAGGACAAAAGUUACAUGGUUGUGUUCGACGAUGUUUGGAAGAUUGAUUUUUGGGGAGACGUGGAGCAUGCUUUACUUGAUAGCAAGAAAUGCGGCAGGAUAAUUGUCACAACACGGCACACGAAUGUCGCUAAGUAUUGCAAAUCAUCUUCCUCUGUUCACCUCCAUGAGCUUGAAACUUUGCCUCCAAACGAGGCGUGGAAACUUUUUUGUAGAAAGGCGUUCGGUCGUGUGCUGAACGGAGAGGACUUGAGUCAUUGCAGUAAAACUCGACGCAUUACUAUACAGAGAAGUAUUGAUGACGGUGCUUUAGAGAGAAUCAAGGACUCGAAGGUCCGUUCUGUUUUUCUUUUCAAUGUGGAUAGGCUGCCCGACUCUUUCAUGAAUGCAAGUAUUGCCAAUUUCAAGCUCAUGAAAGUACUAGAUCUGGAAGAUGCUCCUGUAGAUGACCUUCCUGAAGGAGUGGGGAACUUAUUCAAUUUACACUACUUGAGUGUGAAAAAUACAAAAGUAGAAACACUUCCCAAGUCCAUUGGAAAUCUUCUCAGUUUAGAGACUUUGAAUAGGAAAUAUACUUUGGUGAGAGAACUUCCAGUUGAGAUCAGGAAUCUUAAAAGGUUGCGUUAUCUAAUGGUGUAUCAGUACAAUUAUACCUCUAUAACAGCAGAAACAGCAGCCAGAGUACGCGGGGGCUUUGGGUCUCUAACAGCUCUGCAGAAGUUGUCUACUAUAGAAGCUGACUCGCAAGUGCUUAAGGAGCUUACGAAGCUAAGGCAGUUAAGAAAGUUGGGCAUUAGGCCCCAAAAUGGAAAUGGCAAGGAUCUGUGUGCUUUGAUUGCAAAUUUGGAAAACCUAGAGUCUUUAACAGUAGGAAUGACAAGCAAAGAAGAAAUACUUGACUUGCAAUAUUUGAGUAGUCCUCCUCAAUAUCUGCAGCGUCUCUACUUGAAGGGGAAUAUGAAGAAACUGCCGGAUUGGAUUUUUAAACUUAAAAAUCUAAUCAGAUUGGGUUUGGAACUGUCGGGAUUGACUGAGGAGCCAAUCGGAGUGCUUCAAGCCUUGCCUAAUUUAUUGGAACUUAGACUCGUGGGGACAUACAACUACGAGCUUUUUCAAUUUGAAGCAGGUUGGUUUCCAAAACUCCAAAAAUUGAAGCUCCUUGACUUCGUCGCGGUGAAAUCGGUUCUAAUAGAGAAAGGUGCGAUGCCUGAUAUUAGAGAACUGUGGAUUGGGCCUUGCCCGCUGUUGAUGGAGAUUCCUAUUGGAAUUGAACAUCUUAAAAACCUUAAGCUACUUCUAUUUGCUCAUAUGGUUAAACAAGUGUAUUACAUGACAAAAGACGAGAACUGGGAGAAGGUUACUGAGCAUAUACCAGAUGUCCUUGUCACUUUUGUGGAGGCCGGGCAAG